Molecule: long non-coding RNA, 1988 nt
Organism: Camelus dromedarius (Arabian camel)
Lineage: Eukaryota; Metazoa; Chordata; Mammalia; Artiodactyla; Camelidae
Exons: 3
Source: RefSeq, a predicted model, not a curated record
AGGCGGCGCGGAAAAGUAAAGUGACAACCGAGUCCCGCGAGCGGGCAGGGCCGGGGGCGGGCGAGGGGCGUCCCACGGAGAAGGAGCGGUCGGGACCGGGAGAGGGGAGGGAAACGGAGGCUGCCGGGCCGGCUGGAGGGAGGGGACGCGGGGACCUUGACGGGCACGCGCGUUAAAGGGAAACGCUGGCUGGGGGUGGGAGUUGCCCGAAGACUGAGCGGGGGCGGCGUUUCACCCCCGGCCACUGCAGCCCUGGCUUCAUACUGGCCUCGAAGCUUUCUCCAAAUGGCUACAGGACUGACCCUAUUGACUCACGAAGCAAAACUCGGACGCGUGGUGUCCACAUGCACCCAGGAUGGGAAAACUUCGCGGUGGCCUGGAAAGUUCGCCCAGGCUACACUCCUCAUCCGACAUUGCAGCACGAAGGUCCUUCUGCCUUUGGGCGCGCCCAGGCCCAGAAUGUACCCCGCGAGCCAAGACUUAAGGUCAUUCAACCCUGGGAUACUGAGGAGAGAGUGGAGCUCCUAAACGUGACCCAGCAGGGGCGAACACAGCCCCACAGGAUCCAGAUCAGCUCAAGCAGCCUCAAGACCCCAGAGGACAGGAGCAAGUAGCUGCCACAUUGUGAGUGGCCCUAGAGAGAGGCCCACGUGGCUAGGAACUGAGGCCUCAUCCUGAAGUCCACCGACGAGUGAGCUCGGAGGCAGAUCCUUCUAACUUUAGCCGAGCCUUCAGAUGAUGCCACGCUGCUCGACAUCUGCAGUACAUGAAAAACCCUGAACCAGAAACACCCAGUGAAACCACUUUUGAUCCUUGAGAUAAUCAAUGUUUUUCAGCCACUAAUUUUUGAGGGUAAUUUGUUGUGCAGCAAUAGGUAGUGAACACACAUGCUCCCUGCUCUCUAAUGAUGACGUUCCCUCCUCGAGUCCUCCGUGUACCAAGAAUGCUACAACUGCAGUAGUUCCUGCCUGCGAGGAGUCUCCCUCACUCCUGAAAUGAGCUGUUGCAUCUGACAUCCCAGACACACGGAGGGGCUUAAGUAGGUGCUGAGAUAUGGAUAAAGAGUCUCAAGAGAGAGCAUAGGCCAGGAAUGGAAAAAAAAGAAAAGCAGUUCAGAGUGGCUUUCUUUCAACCUCACAAGAGUAAGAAAGGAAGACUCAGCUCAGCUCGGAGAAAGACUGUCAGAACAAAGGAGCGAAUGGUGACACCUAAGAGUCAGAGAUGUGCUAAGCAAUGAGAUUAUAGACACGAUUUCUUUGUUGUGGUUAUCAUAUUGUUAUGGGUGCAAUAAAUAAAGAUAUUUUAAACUUAAGGAAAGCUCAGAAGGAAACAAAGACAGAAGGAGGGAAACCCUUGCCUUGAUCUGCACCUUUCUUGCAGGACAGAGAUGUUUUGGAGCUGGGCUGUCUGGACUCACGAUCCUGGUUCUACUUCCUUACUGUGAUCAUGGGCAAGCUUCUUAACUUCUUACUGACUCAGAUUCCUUGUCUACCAAUGGGGCUGAUUUUAAUGACUAAUACUUACACAGUAUAAAGGACAAGAUUAAACAAGCUAGUAUACGUAAGCAAUUUAAAGAGAGGUUGAAACAAAACAGGUGUCAUAGGAGAGGGAGCCUUCCUAGUGGUUUGGUAGGUGGGAGGUCAUGUCACUCUGCAACCUGGGUGCUAUUAUCUUACUUGAGUUUGCUACUUUUUCUUGCAAAUAGCCUCCCAGGUAGUCACCGCCUCUUGCCUCUCUGCAUCCUUUACUAUUUAAAAGCCCCUCCUUUGCUGUGAGCUCUCCAAGGGCAGAGACCAUGCUUAAGUAUCUGUGUGUCUACACUUUAGGAUAAAGAGUAGGCAUCCCAUAGAGACAGUCACAUUAGUGAAUAUACCUGCUUUUCAACUGCCUUUCUUCAAAUUACGGAAUUUGGGGAGGUAGGUAUAAAUAUUCUGCUAUGACUUUCACUUCAACAACAAUUUCAGAGAACAUAUAAGCUCUUUACUAUU